Molecule: ribosomal RNA, 253 nt
Filed under: uncultured bacterium
Lineage: Bacteria
Description: partial 16S ribosomal RNA
Rfam family: Bacterial small subunit ribosomal RNA
Source: RNAcentral
UACGGAGGGUGCGAGCGUUGUCCGGAAUCAUUGGGCGUAAAGGGCGCGUAGGUGGCUUCUUUAGCGUGCGGUGAAAGCCUGGGGCUCAACCCCGGGUCGGCCGUGCGAACUGGGGGGCUGGAGCACUGUAGAGGCAGGCGGAAUUCCGGGUGUAGCGGUGGAAUGCGUAGAGAUCCGGAAGAACACCGGUGGCGAAGGCGGCCUGCUGGGCAGUUGCUGACACUAAGGCGCGACAGCGUGGGGAGCAAACAGG